This is a long non-coding RNA of Felis catus (domestic cat), 564 nucleotides long. RefSeq lists it as uncharacterized. Lineage: Eukaryota; Metazoa; Chordata; Mammalia; Carnivora; Felidae. The transcript is spliced from 3 exons. The record is from RefSeq and is a predicted model, not a curated record.
AGAGCAUUACUAUGUUGUCAAGAGACAAGAACUAAAAACACCAGACAUCAAAAGCUGUAGCUGCCAAUUCUGAGGUGAAGACUCCUUUCUGUGUGAAAUUGCAUGAUUCCAAAGAAAUCCCGAACAACAGAACGCAAGCCUUCUUUGACGGAGCAGCCGAAACACCCUGAGCUGCCAGAGAACCCGUGCUUCGGCAUGCCGUCUGAGGUGAUGGCUGCACACAGGGCAGUAAGCCUGGGAAACACGCCGCUUCCUGACUCCUCCACUCGGCAGCUGAGUUCUCCCACCAAACACAUCUCAGGGCAUUAACAAAUAGGAAUUGAUCCAAGGUGCCUAUUUGGGAGCCAGUGGAAAGAAAAUCAAGCAUGUUCCCCUUGGAGAAGAAAAGGCUUAGGAAAGACAUGAUGUGCUAACCGCCUCAAAAGCCUGAAAGACCAUCAUGUAGAAAAAGAAAGUGCAGGGGCGCCUGGGUGGCUCAGUUGGUUAAGCGUCUGACUUUGGCUCAGGUCAUCUCACGGUUUGUGGGUUCGAGCCCCGCGUCGGGCUCUGGGCUAACAGCUCAGA